GGGAUACUAUGUUAGAGUGGAGCAGUAUUCUAGUCAGCCCAUCACCUCUGAAGGCGGGGCUAAAAAUCCGCUAAAGGGCACAUCGAUGAAGUUCUUGGUGUUGGCUUGCAGCGCCCAGCUGCGGGUUGAUGCUGGGAGUUAAGGAAGAAGGGCGAUCCGCAAUGGCAUGCGGGCGUUGACCCUUCUUCCGCGGAGGCCCAAGUACGUGGUGGAAUCACGACGGCUUGGGGUAUGAACCUGCAUGCGGGGACUCACUUGUAUGCAGCGUAGCCUGCCUUGAGUGGCAGAGUGGGGAUAUUUAACUGUACGGUUAAGUUGAAAGCUCUGUUGCAAAAGAGGCUAGGAGGCUGAUCCGGGCUGUUGAGGAAAACUCCUAGACUGUUUGCCUCAGGCAAGGCUAUCCAGGGAUUAAAGUGCGGACUAAGUGGCAAUCCAGUCCGGCGAUUGGCGACAACGCCGAAAGAGGUUAUAAAGGGAAACCGCC
Molecule: small RNA, 484 nt
Filed under: Lihuaxuella thermophila
Lineage: Bacteria; Bacillati; Bacillota; Bacilli; Caryophanales; Thermoactinomycetaceae
Source: RNAcentral